UUCAGUGACAAAAAAACAUCU
This is a non-coding RNA of Caenorhabditis elegans, 21 nucleotides long. The record is from Ensembl. Lineage: Eukaryota; Metazoa; Nematoda; Chromadorea; Rhabditida; Rhabditidae.